RNAcentral lists this transfer RNA (73 nucleotides) under Ipomoea nil (Japanese morning glory). It matches the Rfam family "tRNA". From Rfam's summary of the family: Transfer RNA (tRNA) molecules are approximately 80 nucleotides in length. Their secondary structure includes four short double-helical elements and three loops (D, anti-codon, and T loops). Further hydrogen bonds mediate the characteristic L-shaped molecular structure. tRNAs have two regions of fundamental functional importance: the anti-codon, which is responsible for specific mRNA codon recognition, and the 3' end, to which the tRNAs corresponding amino acid is attached (by aminoacyl-tRNA synthetases). tRNAs cope with the degeneracy of the genetic code in two manners: having more than one tRNA (with a specific anti-codon) for a particular amino acid; and 'wobble' base-pairing, i.e. permitting non-standard base-pairing at the 3rd anti-codon position. The record is from Rfam by way of RNAcentral. Lineage: Eukaryota; Viridiplantae; Streptophyta; Magnoliopsida; Solanales; Convolvulaceae.
GCGGGGAUAGCUCAGUAGGGACAGUGUCAAACUGAAGAUCUGUAGGUCAUGUGUUUGAUCCACGUUCAUUGCA